Molecule: non-coding RNA, 88 nt
Filed under: Pseudomonas soli
Lineage: Bacteria; Pseudomonadati; Pseudomonadota; Gammaproteobacteria; Pseudomonadales; Pseudomonadaceae
Also listed under: 1 other name
Source: RNAcentral
CUCUAUGGCGGUUGUGCGUGGGGCACCUCGUGUGCGCCGGGUCAGGUUCUCUCACCGGUCUGUCAACCCACGCAUAGCUGCCACCCAC